This 600-nucleotide ribosomal RNA is filed under the name Weissella paramesenteroides. RNAcentral describes it as "bacterial SSU rRNA". It matches the Rfam family "Bacterial small subunit ribosomal RNA", at positions 110 to 698 of the family's 1533-position model. The record is from RNAcentral. Lineage: Bacteria; Bacillati; Bacillota; Bacilli; Lactobacillales; Lactobacillaceae.
GUCACUCGUGGAGUACCUGCCUCGCGGCUUUGGAUUUUGUUUGGAAACAGAUGCUGAUACCGAAUAAAACUCAGUGUCGCAUGCCAAUGAGUUAAAAGGCCCUUUGGCGGGUCCUAGAGAUGGAUCCCCGGCGUUUUCCUUUGUUGGUGGGGGAAAGGCCUACCAUGACAAUGAUGCCUAGCCGAGUUGAGAGAGUGAUCGGCCACCUUGGGACUGAACCAAGAUCCAAACUCUCAAAGGAGGCUGCAGUAGGGAAUCUUCCACAAUGGGCGAAAGCCUGAUGGAGCAACGCCGCGUGUGUGAUGAAGGCUUUCGGGUCGUAAAGCACUGUUGUAUGGGAAGAACAGCUAGAAUAGGGAAUGAUUUUAGUUUGACGGUACCAUACCAGAAAGGGACGGCUAAAUACGUGCCAGCAGCCGCGGUAAUACGUAUGUCCCGAGCGUUAUCCGGAUUUAUUGGGCGUAAAGCGAGCGCAGACGGUUGAUUAAGUCUGAUGUGAAAGCCCGGAGCUCAACUCCGGAAUGGCAUUGGAAACUGGUUAACUUGAGUGCAGUAGAGGUAAGUGGAACUCCAUGUGUAGCGGUGGAAUGCGUAGAUAUA